CUUUUCGCAACAUUGACGCAACCAAAAAAUACUGGAACAAAAGAAACAACUUCCUUGAAGCUUUGCUGAAACUGCACUUAGUCGGGGAAUGGCAGCUUGCUGUCAACUUGCCUCACUCGGGUGGGAAACAUCGAGGUGAGGGCUGGCCCGGCUGGCAGCGACUGAGUGAAGAGAGAGAGAGAGAGAGAGAGAGAGGGAGAGAGAGAUGCGGGCGAUGACUCCGGAACAGACAACCGAAUGGAGACGGAAGACGUGGAUGCUGAUGGUCUCCGCCCUCUUACUUAGAUGAAUCCAUCAUGCAGAUUUGAACAAGGCAAGUGCAGAGUGCCGAAGAGGAGGAGCAGAUGUUUCUGGUGAUGCUGUAGCAGCACAGAAUGGUUUGUGGGUUACUCUGAGAUGCAGGCCAUACCGUGCUGCCGCAAUAAAGCCUGAAUAACACAACAUGCAAGCGAUCACCUUUAAGCCCCUCCAGAUGUCUUUGAUGACCACUGGCUGCCUGAGCUCAUGUUAUCUAGAUAAUUGUGUUGCUAAUGACAGUGACGAAACGGUUCCAGGGUAUUUAUCAUUCUGACUCGCUGGUCGCCUUACUGUAGCAGCACGUAAAUAUUGGAGUUAAGACUAGCUGAAGUCUCCAGUAUUGAUCGUGCUGCUGAAGCAAAGCUGACCACUCACACACUCUGAAUGCUCUCAGACCCUCUGUAGGUGAUGAUGGGUUUCAUUACAUUGAAUUGAAAUUUUUUUUUUUUUUUUUUUUCAAUGAACUAUUUUGUUUGAAGAUUUUAAGUAUAUCUUGUUAUAUGUGAAUAUUUUUGAGAAAUAAAAACAUUAACUGAUCUCGUUUGUGUUUUUCUUAUUUAUUUAUUUCCCUAAUAACGACAUGCUUUAAUUGUAUGUUAACCUUUUUUUUGUUUGUCAAAGUAACACUAAACACGUUACAAGUGCUGACUCUUAAUAUUUUUCCACAGUUGUCCCAGAAUUACAGCCGCUAAGCAGAAGCGCUCACCGGGGCCUGCACGGCCUCUGCCGCGCUGCUCAGAUGGUCGUCAGAUCAGUUUAUGCAAACAUUAGAAGUAUCUGAUUUAAUUCGUCAGGGUUUUCGUUCCUAAUUUUCAAGAAUAAGAACAUGAUUUUUUUUAUCGUCACUCUUUAUUUUUAAAUGAUCUUGCACUUUUAAGUAUUUGUAGCCGCUGUAAAUCCCCUAAUGUCUGCGGUUACGUGAAGUCCUGCGGUUUCGUAACUGGUCAUCCCCCUCUGCCCCGCUACCAGACUCCUUUUCAAGCGCAGUUGGACGCGAAAGCGUUUCAAGUAUUUGCUAUGCGCUCAGAAUAUUACUGGCGAUAGUCUCAAAUUUGAUUCACCAAUUUUUUUUUUUUUUGCCUUGUGGGUUGUGAAAAUAACUUCCGUUUCCCGUUUCUUUUUUUCCUAAAAUAUAUACACAAACAUGAAAUGGAAGAUAUUCAAAGCUAGUCUAACACCUGCUUCACAAAUAUUAAACUUCUCUUUGAUAUCUAAAUUAAAAAGUGACCUUUUUCUGCUCGUUUAUUAAAUCAUUACAUUUUCAUUAACAAACAGGGUUUUCGUGCGGGGCCAAUAUUUUGUCCGCCUUAUAGCGUUUAUAUUCACUCCGGCCAUAUCGGGCCUCUUCAUAUUUAUUUAUUUAUUUUUGUAUUAAAAAUAAAAGAAUAGCCUAUUAAACUUCAUAAUCAUUUAAGUAAAUGUUACUUU
Xiphophorus couchianus (Monterrey platyfish) is the source of this 1725-nucleotide long non-coding RNA. RefSeq lists it as uncharacterized. The transcript is spliced from 2 exons. The record is from RefSeq and is a predicted model, not a curated record. Lineage: Eukaryota; Metazoa; Chordata; Actinopteri; Cyprinodontiformes; Poeciliidae.